ACCUGGAUCACUUCUCUGAUACGCUGGUCACGGCAGUUUCGAAAUCUCCACACACCAUCACGCAAAACUUCACAUACCCUUGCCUCCCUGGCUAUACCAAGAUUCUGUGUACCAAUCUCACUAGUAAGUUCAAUUAUAUGACCCUGCGGAUGCCACAAAUCAUUCCAGAACCUCACAUUUCGACCAUCUCUGAUGUUCAUCCGUAUGAAGUUUUUUGCUAAAUAUUUCAACCUUUACAAUUUCCUCCAAACCCAAGACCCU
Molecule: long non-coding RNA, 261 nt
Filed under: Brassica napus (rape)
Lineage: Eukaryota; Viridiplantae; Streptophyta; Magnoliopsida; Brassicales; Brassicaceae
Description: long non-coding RNA (BNAP_LNC019612)
Source: RNAcentral